GAUGAACGCUGGCGGCGUGCCUAAUACAUGCAAGUCGAGCGAACAGACGAGGAGUUUGCUCCGCUGACGUUAGCGGCGGACGGGUGAGUAACACGUGGAUAACCUACCUAUAAGACUGGGAUAACUUCGGGAAACCGGAGCUAAUACCGGAUAAUAUAUUGAACCGCAUGGUUCAGUAGUGAAAGACGGUUUUGCUUUCACUUGUAGAUGGACCCGCGCCGCAUUAGCUAGUUGGUAAGGUAACGGCUUACCAAGGCCACGAUGCGUAGCCGACCUGAGAGGGUGAUCGGCCACACUGGAACUGAGACACGGUCCAGACUCCUACGGGAGGCAGCAGUACGGAAUGUUGCGCCAUGGGCGAAUGCCUGACGGUGCAACGCCGCGUGAAUGAUGAAGGUCUUCGGAUCGUAAAACUCUGUUAUGAGGGAAGAACAAAUGUGUAAGUACCUAUGCACGUCUUGACGGUACCUAAUCAGAAAGCCACGGCUAACUACGUG
RNAcentral lists this ribosomal RNA (497 nucleotides) under uncultured bacterium. Its description in RNAcentral is "partial 16S ribosomal RNA". It matches the Rfam family "Bacterial small subunit ribosomal RNA", at positions 28 to 507 of the family's 1533-position model. The record is from RNAcentral.